RNAcentral lists this ribosomal RNA (450 nucleotides) under uncultured bacterium. RNAcentral's name for it is "partial 16S ribosomal RNA". It matches the Rfam family "Bacterial small subunit ribosomal RNA", at positions 338 to 795 of the family's 1533-position model. The record is from RNAcentral.
CCUACGGGGGGCUGCAGUAAGGAAUAUUGGUCAAUGGACGAAAGUCUGAACCAGCCAUCCCGCGUGCAGGAUGAAAGCCCUAUGGGUUGUAAACUGCUUUUAGCAGAGAAGAAAAGCUUUCAUUAAUGAGAGUCUGACGGUAUCUGCAGAAUAAGCACCGGCUAACUCCGUGCCAGCAGCCGCGGUCAUACGGAGGUUGCGGGCGUUAUCCGGUUUUAAGGGGUCGUAGGCGUAGGAUGAAGUAAGAGGUGAAAUCUUGUCGCUUAACGAUAGAAUUGCCUAUGAUACUGGUACUCUUGAAUUGGGUUGAGGUUAGCGGAAUGUGACAUGUAGCGGUGAAAUGCAUAGAUAUGUCAUGGAACACCAAUUGCGAAGGCAGCUAACUGGGCCUUGAUUGACGCUGAGGCACGAAAGCGUGGGUAGCGAACAGGAUUAGAUACCCCGGUAGUC